GAUGAACGCUGGCGGCGUGCCUAAUACAUGCAAGUCGAGCGAACGGACGAGAAGCUUGCUUCUCUGAUGUUAGCGGCGGACGGGUGAGUAACACGUGGAUAACCUACCUAUAAGACUGGGAUAACUUCGGGAAACCGGAGCUAAUACCGGAUAAUAUUUUGAACCGCAUGGUUCAAAAGUGAAAGACGGUCUUGCUGUCACUUAUAGAUGGAUCCGCGCUGCAUUAGCUAGUUGGUAAGGUAACGGCUUACCAAGGCAACGAUGCAUAGCCGACCUGAGAGGGUGAUCGGCCACACUGGAACUGAGACACGGUCCAGACUCCUACGGGAGGCAGCAGUAGGGAAUCUUACGCAAUGGGCGAAAGCAUGACGGAGCAACGCCGCGUGAGUGAUGAAGGUCUUCGGAUCGUAAAACUCUGUUAUUAGGGAAGAACAUAUGUGUAAGUAACUGUGCACAUCUUGACGGUACCUAAUCAGAAAGCAACGGCUAACUACGUG
RNAcentral lists this ribosomal RNA (497 nucleotides) under uncultured bacterium. RNAcentral describes it as "partial 16S ribosomal RNA". It matches the Rfam family "Bacterial small subunit ribosomal RNA", at positions 28 to 507 of the family's 1533-position model. The record is from RNAcentral.